RNAcentral lists this long non-coding RNA (438 nucleotides) under Mytilus galloprovincialis (Mediterranean mussel). The record is from RNAcentral. Lineage: Eukaryota; Metazoa; Mollusca; Bivalvia; Mytilida; Mytilidae.
AAAAAUAUUCUUAUAAUAUGUAAAUGCUGUCUUACAGCUAAGGGGGAGGGGGUGGAUUUUUUUAUAAUGUUGAUCUUGUUAUUAUAACUCACCAGACUUGAAAGUUGUUCUACCAAAAGCACAUUUAUUUUCGAAGAACUAACUUUCACUUAGGGAACGAAAAAAAAAUAUAUAAAACUUAUAAAAAAAUAUAAAAAAAAAUGAAAAAAAAUAAAAAAAUAAAAAAAAAAAAAUAUUUUAGGAGGAGAAUAAAACAACCAGUAACCCAAACCCAACUGAAGCUAGUGGAUCUACAACCUAUAAUCCAGAACCUUUUGUUCCUCCAACCUAUAAGCCAGAACUUUAUAUUUCAUCUAUAAGGGGAUCAGCAGAAAUGCCUCCCCCACCUCAUAUAUACGGCACCCAAAAAAAGAAAAGUAGAAGAAAAUAUAUCCUCGG